Molecule: long non-coding RNA, 166 nt
Organism: Sinocyclocheilus rhinocerous
Lineage: Eukaryota; Metazoa; Chordata; Actinopteri; Cypriniformes; Cyprinidae
Exons: 2
Source: RefSeq, a predicted model, not a curated record
UAUAAAGCCAGGUUUAAGUUUCCGCAAGAAUAUCUCAGUUUCCCGAGUGGAGCUGUAUUAACCGGUCUUUUCCUCCGGCCGCAGCACCGCUGGCAGAGGCAGACCAGCGGGGAGAUGAGAGUCACAGAGUGCGCUGGCAGACCGGCGGGGAGACUCGUGAAGACGA